AUUCCCCUCACGUGUGGCCUUAAAGAGUUCUAUAUUCUUUUGCUAAGUCAGACUUGGCUUUUACCAGUUUGUUAGCGAUUUCAGCUAAAAUUUUCUUACUCGUAUCUGACAGUGUCUGCCUCAGGGUACUGGAAAUCUUUGGGUAAGAAAAAUAAAAAAGACCACAAAAUAUCCAGAGGAAUGCAAUCAAGAUUCUUAAGAGCUUGAAAAACCUAUCCUAUGAUGAAGAAUUGAGAGAAACUGAGUUGUUCAGCCUGGAACUGGGAAAACAUGAGGAUGAGAUAAGGCAAAGAUAGAUAUCUUCAAAUAUUUGAUAAUUGCUAUGUGGGAAGAGCUCUGUCCAGUUGCUCCAAGCUUUACUGGUUGCACUCUAGGUCUGCUGCACAUCUACACGGAUAUCACCUGGAGAGAUCACUUAUUCUGGAGAACCCCAGAUGCUCAGUCAUGAAGACACUUAUCCAGAGUCCUGUGUGGUGAGGAACUGAGGCGUUCAUCCAGUGAGGAAUUGAGGAUUCCUACUAACAGCCAUGUGAGUGAACUUGAAAGUGAGUGAAUCCUCCAACUUCUCAAUCAGUCCUUCAGAUGACUGCAGUCCUGGCUGACAUCUUGCCUGUAACCUCAUGAAAGACCUUGAGCUACACUCGCCCAGCUAAGCUUCUCCAAAAUUCCUGAGUCAAAGAAACUGUAAGAUAAUAAAUGUUUGUUAUUUUAAGCCACCAAGUUUGCAGUUAACUUGUUAUGCAAAAAUGCAUAACUUAUACAAAUAAGGAAGUUAAUCCUAGACAUCUCAGGUAUAUGAAUUUAUUAAAAACAGGAAGAAAGAACUUGAAUUA
RNAcentral lists this long non-coding RNA (833 nucleotides) under Equus caballus (horse). RNAcentral describes it as "lncRNA (ENSECAG00000045472.1)". Lineage: Eukaryota; Metazoa; Chordata; Mammalia; Perissodactyla; Equidae. The record is from RNAcentral.